GUAGUCUCGCGAGAUCACGUCAAGCGCGCCACUUCAAAUUUUUUUGAUAUUUGAUUUACAGGUUUAACCGUUAUUUACCGGUGCAGGUCGUCAUCUCACUGGGAGAUCUGCAGUUACAGGACUGCCUGGGGUAACGUCUGUGCAUCAAUACAACCACUAAUAGGCCAGCCAGGGCCGGUAGGGAAUCCAGACGGGCCGCCGUGUAGGCGAUUCCACGGGUCAUGAUGGUUAGGGGUGGACAAUCCCCCGACCACGCUGGCUGCUGCUGGAGUAGCUGUGUGGAGCUCCUUCCUCCGGCUCUGAGAGAGGCCCUCCGCCGUUCUCCUCCGGUCCUCUCUUCCCCUUGUUCCUCCUUCCCAGCAUGUCAGUGCGCUGACUGGGCUUCAGAGAGCAGUCCAUCUGAUAAGAAAGUGGAAAUGAACGCUGUUUGAAGAGUGACAGCUGAUGCCUGGGAGUGAAAACCUGAAAUCUUGACGUUUACCUCCAAU
Thunnus maccoyii (southern bluefin tuna) is the source of this 488-nucleotide long non-coding RNA. RefSeq lists it as uncharacterized. The record is from RefSeq and is a predicted model, not a curated record. NCBI's taxonomy places the organism in Eukaryota, Metazoa, Chordata, Actinopteri, Scombriformes, Scombridae. The transcript is spliced from 5 exons.